This 612-nucleotide ribosomal RNA is filed under the name Pseudomonas umsongensis. RNAcentral's name for it is "bacterial SSU rRNA". It matches the Rfam family "Bacterial small subunit ribosomal RNA", at positions 860 to 1470 of the family's 1533-position model. Lineage: Bacteria; Pseudomonadati; Pseudomonadota; Gammaproteobacteria; Pseudomonadales; Pseudomonadaceae. The record is from RNAcentral.
UUAAGUUGACCGUCCUGGGGAGUACGGCCGCAAGGUUAAAACUCAAAUGAAUUGACGGGGGCCCGCACAAGCGGUGGAGCAUGUGGUUUAAUUGGAAGCAACGCGAAGAACCUUACCAGGCCUUGACAUCCAAUGAACUUUCCAGAGAUGGAUUGGUGCCUUCGGGAACAUUGAGACAGGUGCUGCAUGGCUGUCGUCAGUUCGUGUCGUGAGAUGUUGGGUUAAGUCCCGUAACGAGCGCAACCCUUGUCCUUAGUUACCAGCACGUAAUGGUGGGCAUUUUAAGGAGACUGCCGGUGACAAACCGGAGGAAGGUGGGGAUGACGUCAAGUCAUCAUGGCCCUUACGGCCUGGGCUACACACGUGCUACAAUGGUCGGUACAAAGGGUUGCCAAGCCGCGAGGUGGAGCUAAUCCCAUAAAACCGAUCGUAGUCCGGAUCGCAGUCUGCAACUCGAUUGCGUGAAGUCGGAAUCGCUAGUAAUCGCGAAUCAGAAUGUCGCGGUGAAUACGUUCCCGGGCCUUGUACACUCCGCCCGUCACACCAUGGGAGUGGGUUGCACCAGAAGCAGGUAGUCUAACCUUCGGGAGGACGGUUACCACGGUGUGAUUC